This is a long non-coding RNA of Nothoprocta perdicaria, 505 nucleotides long. RefSeq lists it as uncharacterized. Lineage: Eukaryota; Metazoa; Chordata; Aves; Tinamiformes; Tinamidae. The record is from RefSeq and is a predicted model, not a curated record. The transcript is spliced from 2 exons.
ACCAGGAAACAAGUACUAAAUCACAGAAUACUGAGAAGUAGUCCUGUGCUAUUGAACUGACAAGAUUAAUUUAUUAUUUCCUUGCAAUGGGCCAAGCAGAAAUUCAAUGAACAACUUCAACCCAAGUYUGUUUCUAAAAUACAACACUCCAUCUGAGACAAGCCAACACUGGAUGUACUGUCAUGAAUUGAAAGCAAAUAAAUGARGCCUAUCAGGAAAAAUAUUUCAAGGAAAAAGUCCAAUAUCUGAAGUUUUCACACUGGCUUGUAAAAGAAAUAAYGUUUUCAUCCCUUCCCUCAACUCAUGGGAUACCCGUCAGUUUCCAGAUUCAUUCCCAUUAGCACAAAGAAUCAAAGAACCUUAAAACAUUCUUAAGGAAUUUUCCAAAUGAAAGGACCAAAUUGUGAAGAACUGGAAAUAAAAGCUCUGUUUGGGAGGUCAUGACAAACCAGGUGUUUAUUUAGCAAGAAAAAAAUCCAUAUAUAACCAAAAAAAGACAAGGCAG